This 281-nucleotide long non-coding RNA is filed under the name Mytilus galloprovincialis (Mediterranean mussel). The record is from RNAcentral. Lineage: Eukaryota; Metazoa; Mollusca; Bivalvia; Mytilida; Mytilidae.
GAAUUAUUUCGAUUCUAAUAGGACAAAUACAGUCAUUAAAAAACUGAAGCGAAGGUGGGUAUGCAGUGUGUGUGGCUGUUCUUUUUUACUCCCUGUUAGAUAAAGCUCAAAUAUCUUUAUAAAUAUGUAGCUUGCGUAGGUUAUUUCGUGAAUAACUGCUAGAAAAAAACUUUUUAAUUCUUUAAAUUCUCAAACCCAACAUUUGCCAUUUUUAAUUUACAGGUUUUGUUCGUAAGCUUCCGUCAAAUCCAAAGUUGACAUUUUUUAACUAAGGAGCCGCC